Molecule: ribosomal RNA, 253 nt
Filed under: uncultured bacterium
Lineage: Bacteria
Description: partial 16S ribosomal RNA
Rfam family: Bacterial small subunit ribosomal RNA
Source: RNAcentral
UACGUAGGGGGCGAGCGUUGUCCGGAUUUAUUGGGCGUAAAGCGCGCGUAGGUGGCUUCGUAAGUCCGUUGUGAAAGUCAAAGGCUCAACCUUUGAAAGCCGAUGGAUACUGUGAAGCUAGAGUACGGAAGAGGCGAGUGGAAUUCCUGGUGUAGCGGUGGAAUGCGCAGAUAUCAGGAGGAACACCGACGGCGAAGGCAGCACUCUGGGCCGGUACUGACGCUGAGGAGCGAAAGCGUGGGGAGCAAACAGG